AUCAACGCUGGCGGCGUGCCUAACACAUGCAAGUCGAACGAGAAAGCCGGUAGCAAUACUGGUGAGUAGAGUGGCGACCGGGUGAGUAACACGUGGAUAACCUACCGCCGAGUGGGGAAUAACCUUGGGAAACCGGGGCUAAUACCGCAUAACACCUCGGGACUUCGGUCCUGGGGUUGAAACCCGCAAGGGGCUUGGCGAGGGGUCCGCGGCCGAUUAGCUAGUUGGUGAGGUAACGGCCCACCAAGGCCAUGAUCGGUAGCCGGCCUGAGAGGGCGGACGGCCACACUGGAACUGAAACACGGUCCAGACUCCUACGGGAGGCAGCAGUGGGGAAUUUUGCGCAAUGGGGGAAACCCUGACGCAGCAACGCCGCGUGGACGAUGAAGCUUCUUGGAGUGUAAAGUCCUUUCGGCAGGGACGAAGCCCGAGCAAUCGGGUUGACGGUACCUGAAGAAGAAGCCCCGGCUAACUCCGU
Molecule: ribosomal RNA, 478 nt
Filed under: uncultured bacterium
Lineage: Bacteria
Description: bacterial SSU rRNA
Rfam family: Bacterial small subunit ribosomal RNA
Source: RNAcentral